Molecule: unclassified non-coding RNA, 384 nt
Filed under: soil metagenome
Description: partial contains 5.8S ribosomal RNA, internal transcribed spacer 2, and large subunit ribosomal RNA
Rfam family: 5.8S ribosomal RNA (bases 1-120)
Source: RNAcentral
GAUGAAGAACGCAGCGAAAUGCGAUAGGUAAUGUGAAUUGCAGAAUUCAGUGAAUCAUCGAAUCUUUGAACGCACAUUGCGCCCUUUGGUAUUCCUUAGGGCAUGCCUGUUCGAGCGUCACUACACACCUUAUCACAAUAUUUGUGGUCUUGGCAGGAGUGAAUUGCUGGUCUACGGAAGUAUUCCAGCAGUACACAAUGCUAAAAAAUAUGGGAAGGUUACCAGAUAUGAACAACAGACUUUGUAAAUGGUUGUAGGACCUAGAUCAGUCACAAGUCAUGUCUGGUCCCUUACCUUAAGGACCCCCAUCCUAGAUGAACUAUGGGUUGACCUCGGAUCAGGUAGGAAUACCCGCUGAACUUAAGCAUAUCAAUAAGCGGAGGA